This 749-nucleotide long non-coding RNA is filed under the name Sus scrofa (pig). RNAcentral describes it as "lncRNA (ENSSSCG00015002073.1)". The record is from RNAcentral. Lineage: Eukaryota; Metazoa; Chordata; Mammalia; Artiodactyla; Suidae.
GGGCAGAUCAGGAACUGGCCUGCACUUUAGAGACUGAUAAGAAUAAUCUAUCUGGAUCACAGGGUCACUGUUGAGCUUCUCAUCCAUGCCCAGUACACUGACUAGAAUACAGCUGUGCUCACAGAAUAUCAAAGGAGGGAAGGCAGGGCAGACCACUCUUCCUACACCAGUCAGCUUCUCAUUUUUUGAGAACUCAGACCUUCUUUCUCUCUAACAUCACCUUGACAGUCUUUCAUUGUUUUACACUGAUUGUUUCAUUUGUUUGAGGUUUUGUUUGUUUGUUUGUUUGUUUUUUGGUGGGGGGGCUGGUUGCAGGAGAGGAAGAGGAUGUGUUUUGUUCUGUUUUUCUAUCUACCACACUCUUCUCUCUUGCCUUUGUUACUAUGGUCUCUAUCAGCCCCUUGCAGUGAUUGGAAAUGUACACUGAUUGUUUCAUUUGUUUGGGGUUUUGUUUGUUUGUUUGUUUGUUUGUUUUUUGGUGGGGGGGCUGGUUGCAGGAGAGGAAGAGGAUGUGUUUUGUUGUUUUUCUAUCUACCACACUCUUCACUCUUGCCUUUGUUACUAUGGUCUCUAUCAGCCCCUUGCAGUGAUUGGAAAUGUCUACUGUAUUCUGAGAAGCCCUCAGGACACUGCCUCCCCUUCAUGUCUCUUCUCAUACAUUUAACCAUUCUUAUGACUCUCUAGGAUUUUUACCAUCAUUUACCAUAUUUUAAGCCUUCAUGUCCCAAUAAAAAUAUAAUCAGCUUUCA